UGAAUACGAGAUGCUACGGCGUCGAAGCAGUCUAUGUCAUACUUCCAAGAAAAGCUUGCACUGUCAUAAACAAAUAAUGCCUGUACCAUAACCGACACAGGUGGGUAGGUAGAGUAUACUAAGGGGCGCGAGAUAACUCUCUCUAAGGAACUAGGCAAAAUGACUCCGUAACUUCGGGAGAAGGAGUGCCUUAUUUAUAAGGUUGCAAUAACAAGAUCCAAGCAACUGUUUACCAAAAACACAGGUCUCCGCUAAGUCGUAAGACGAUGUAUGGGGGCUGACGCCUGCCCAGUGCCAGAAGGUUAAAGAAGUUGGUUAGCAUCCGCGAAGCUGAUAACUGAAGCCCUGGUGAACGGCGGCCGUAACUAUAACGGUCCUAAGGUAGCGAAAUUCCUUGUCGGGUAAGUUCCGACCCGCACGAAAGGCGUAAUGAUUUGGAUACUGUCUCGGAGAGGGGCUCGGUGAAAUAGACUUGUCUGUGAAGAUGCGGACUACCUGCACCAGGACAGAAAGACCCUAUGAAGCUUUACUGUAACCUGAAAUUGAAAUUGGACUUUACUUGCGCAGUAUAGGUGGGAGGCGUUGAGAAUAUUCUUGCGGGAUUAUUGGAGCCAUCAGUGAGAUACCACUCUUGUAAUGUUAGAUUUCUAACUUUGUAUCAUUAUCUGGUCAAAGAACAGUUUCAGGCGGGCAGUUUGACUGGGGCGGUCGCCUCCUAAACGGUAACGGAGGCGCACAAAGGUUUCCUCUGAACGGGUAGAAAUCGUAUCUAGAGUGUAAAGGCAUAAGGAAGCUUGACUGUGAGACCUACAAGUCGAGCAGGGACGAAAGUCGGUCUUAGUGAUCUGACGGUGCUGAGUGGAAAGGCCGUCACUCAACGGAUAAAAGUUACUCUAGGAUAACAGGCUGAUCUCCCCCAAGAGUUCACAUCGACGGGGAGGUUUGGCACCUCGAUGUCGGCUCAUCGCAUCCUGGGGCGGUAGUACGUCCCAAGGGUUGGGCUGUUCGCCCAUGAAAGCGGUACGCGAGCUGGGUUCAGAACGUCGUGAGACAGUUCGGUCCAUAUCCGGUGUAGGCGUUAGAAUAUUGAGAGGAGCCUUCUUUAGUACGAGAGGACCGAGAAGGACAUACCUCUGGUGUACCAGUUAUCGUGCCAACGGUAAACGCUGGGUAGCUAUGUGUGGAGUGGAUAACCGCUGAAAGCAUCUAAGUGGGAAGCCCACCUCAAGAUAAG
This 1234-nucleotide ribosomal RNA is filed under the name metagenome. RNAcentral describes it as "bacterial LSU rRNA". It matches the Rfam family "Bacterial large subunit ribosomal RNA", at positions 1564 to 2808 of the family's 2925-position model. The record is from RNAcentral.